This 465-nucleotide ribosomal RNA is filed under the name Vreelandella stevensii. RNAcentral's name for it is "partial 16S ribosomal RNA". It matches the Rfam family "Bacterial small subunit ribosomal RNA", at positions 338 to 795 of the family's 1533-position model. The record is from RNAcentral. Lineage: Bacteria; Pseudomonadati; Pseudomonadota; Gammaproteobacteria; Oceanospirillales; Halomonadaceae.
CUUACGGGCGGCAGCAGUGGGGAAUAUUGGACAAUGGGGGGAACCCUGAUCCAGCCAUGCCGCGUGUGUGAAGAAGGCCCUCGGGUUGUAAAGCACUUUCAGUGAGGAAGAACGCCUGGUGGUUAAUACCCAUCAGGAAAGACAUCACUCACAGAAGAAGCACCGGCUAACUCCGUGCCAGCAGCCGCGGUAAUACGGAGGGUGCGAGCGUUAAUCGGAAUUACUGGGCGUAAAGCGCGCGUAGGUGGCUUGAUAAGCCGGUUGUGAAAGCCCCGGGCUCAACCUGGGAACGGCAUCCGGAACUGUCAAGCUAGAGUGCAGGAGAGGAAGGUAGAAUUCCCGGUGUAGCGGUGAAAUGCGUAGAGAUCGGGAGGAAUACCAGUGGCGAAGGCGGCCUUCUGGACUGACACUGACACUGAGGUGCGAAAGCGUGGGUAGCAAACAGGAUUAGAUACCCCAGUAGUC